UCCCUUAUCAGAAAGAGAAGAUAGCGGC
RNAcentral lists this non-coding RNA (28 nucleotides) under Rattus norvegicus (Norway rat). Lineage: Eukaryota; Metazoa; Chordata; Mammalia; Rodentia; Muridae. The record is from RNAcentral.